RNAcentral lists this ribosomal RNA (253 nucleotides) under uncultured bacterium. Its description in RNAcentral is "partial 16S ribosomal RNA". It matches the Rfam family "Bacterial small subunit ribosomal RNA", at positions 524 to 776 of the family's 1533-position model. The record is from RNAcentral.
UACAGAGGUCUCAAGCGUUGUUCGGAUUCAUUGGGCGUAAAGGGUGUGUAGGUGGCGCCGUAAAUCGGGUGUGAAAUUUCGGAGCUUAACUCCGAAACUGCAUUCGAUACUGCGGUGCUUGAGGACUGGAGAGGGGCGUGGAAUUCCGGGUGGAGCGGUGAAAUGCGUAGAGAUCCGGAGGAACACCGACGGCGUAGGCAGCGCCCUGGACGACACCUGACGCUGAGGCACGAAAGCUGGGGGAGCGAACAGG